This 162-nucleotide ribosomal RNA is filed under the name Satyrium amoenum. RNAcentral's name for it is "5.8S ribosomal RNA". It matches the Rfam family "5.8S ribosomal RNA". Rfam says of the family: 5.8S ribosomal RNA (5.8S rRNA) is a component of the large subunit of the eukaryotic ribosome. It is transcribed by RNA polymerase I as part of the 45S precursor that also contains 18S and 28S rRNA. Functionally, it is thought that 5.8S rRNA may be involved in ribosome translocation. The record is from RNAcentral. Lineage: Eukaryota; Viridiplantae; Streptophyta; Magnoliopsida; Asparagales; Orchidaceae.
UAUGACUCUCGACAAUGGAUAUCUUGGCUCUCGCAUCGAUGAAGAGCGCAGUGAAAUGCGAUAUGUGGUGUGAAUUGCAGAAUCCCGUGAACCAUCGAGUAUUUGAAUGCAAGUCGCGCCUGAGGCCAACUGGCUAAGGGCAUGUCCGCCUCGGUGUCAAGC